Molecule: ribosomal RNA, 461 nt
Filed under: uncultured bacterium
Lineage: Bacteria
Description: bacterial SSU rRNA
Rfam family: Bacterial small subunit ribosomal RNA
Source: RNAcentral
CUACGGGAGGCAGCAGUGGGGAAUCUUGCGCAAUGGGCGAAAGCCUGACGCAGCAACGCCGCGUGUGUGAUGAAGGUCUUCGGAUCGUAAAGCACUGUCGCGAGGGACGAAUAAGGGUCGGUCUAACAAGCCGGUCCGAUGACGGUACCUCGAGAGGAAGCACCGGCUAACUCUGUGCCAGCAGCCGCGGUAAUACAGAGGGUGCAAGCGUUGUUCGGAAUUAUUGGGCGUAAAGCGCGUGUAGGCGGCUUAGUAAGUUGGGUGUGAAAGCCCUCGGCUUAACCGAGGAAGUGCGCCCAAAACUGCUUGGCUUGAGUACCGGAGAGGGUGGCGGAAUUCCCGGUGUAGAGGUGAAAUUCGUAGAUAUCGGGAGGAACACCAGCGGCGAAGGCGGCCACCUGGACGGAUACUGACGCUGAGACGCGAAAGCGUGGGGAGCAAACAGGAUUAGAUACCCCGGU